AGCUUUGCGCAGAGGCGAUAACGUGACCAAUGAGGCCUAGCCGAGGUGCGUUUAUUGCUGGUUGAAAACUUCUACCAAUUGCCCGCCGCGCUACCUGCUUCAAGCGGUAUGCGUAGGCAAUUUUUGGACGGCCAUAGGGCC
Non-coding RNA from Bursaphelenchus xylophilus (pine wood nematode), 141 nucleotides. NCBI's taxonomy places the organism in Eukaryota, Metazoa, Nematoda, Chromadorea, Rhabditida, Aphelenchoididae. The record is from Rfam.